CCCUUAGAUGUUCUGGGCCGCACGCGCGCUACACUGUCGCAUUCAACGAGUUUACAACCUGGACCGAUAGGACUGGGUAAUCUUUGAAAAUGCGACGUGAUUGGGCUAGAUUAUUGUAAUUAUUAAUCUUCAACGAGGAAUUCCUAGUAAACGCAAGUCAUCAACUUGCAUUGAUUACGUCCCUGCCCUUUGUACACACCGCCCGUCGCUCCUACCGAUUGAAUGAUCCGGUGAAGUCUUCGGAUCGUCUGUUCGUGGGGUAAAACUCGCGAAUAGAUCGAGAAGUUGAUUAAACCUUAUCAUUUAGAGGAAGGAGAAGUCGUAACA
Molecule: ribosomal RNA, 327 nt
Filed under: uncultured eukaryote
Lineage: Eukaryota
Description: partial 18S ribosomal RNA
Rfam family: Eukaryotic small subunit ribosomal RNA
Source: RNAcentral